UACGUAGGGUGCAAGCGUUGUCCGGAAUUAUUGGGCGUAAAGAGCUCGUAGGCGGUUUGUCGCGUCUGCUGUGAAAUCUGGGGGCUCAACCCCCAGCCUGCAGUGGGUACGGGCAGACUAGAGUGCGGUAGAGGAGAUUGGAAUUCCUGGUGUAGCGGUGGAAUGCGCAGAUAUCAGGAGGAACACCGAUGGCGAAGGCAGAUCUCUGGGCCGUAACUGACGCUGAGGAGCGAAAGCGUGGGGAGCGAACAGG
This 253-nucleotide ribosomal RNA is filed under the name uncultured bacterium. RNAcentral describes it as "partial 16S ribosomal RNA". It matches the Rfam family "Bacterial small subunit ribosomal RNA", at positions 524 to 776 of the family's 1533-position model. The record is from RNAcentral.